This 775-nucleotide ribosomal RNA is filed under the name uncultured Neocallimastigales. Its description in RNAcentral is "partial large subunit ribosomal RNA". It matches the Rfam family "Eukaryotic large subunit ribosomal RNA", at positions 25 to 634 of the family's 3401-position model. Lineage: Eukaryota; Fungi; Neocallimastigomycota; Neocallimastigomycetes; Neocallimastigales. The record is from RNAcentral.
ACACUGACGUCGCGACGCAUAUCAAUAAGCGGAGGAAAAGAAACUAACAAGGAUUCCCUUAGUAACGGCGAGUGAAGCGGGAAGAGCUCAAAUUUGAAAUCUUCAAGGUUCUACCUUGACGAAUUGUAGUUUAAAGAAGUGUUUUCUGUUAGUGGAGUUGGCAAAAGUUCUUUGGAAUAGGACAUCAUAGAGGGUGAGAAUCCCGUAUUUGGUCAUUCCUUCUAGCUUUGUGAUACACUUUCAAAGAGUCGGAUUGUUUGGGAAUGCAGUCCAAAAUGGGUGGUAAAUUUCAUCUAAAGCUAAAUAUUGGCGAGAGACCGAUAGCGAACAAGUACCGUGAGGGAAAGAUGAAAAGAACUUUGAAAAGAGAGUUAAACAGUACGUGAAAUUGUCAAAAGGGAAGCGUUUGACACCAGUGUUGUUUUUCCGAAAAUCAAUUAUAAAUGUUUUGUUUCUGAGGAGUGAUGACUUCAUCGGCUUCCUUCUCUCUUCACGAAACUUUUGUAAUGCACUUUUCGGUUAACAAGUCAACAUCAAUUUCUUUUGUUGUAAAAGAGUAUUCGGAAGGUGGCUUUCUUUUCGGAGAAAGUGUUUAUAGCCCUAUACUUCUACAAUCGGAGAGAUUGAGGUCUGCAGCGUAGAUCCUUCGGGGUUAGAUACAUUUGUGCUAAGUUGUAGCUUUUCAUAGACAACUUGUUGACUAUGUUUAGUCAUGCGGCUUACUCGCUUAUGCUAUUUUACCUACGCUUAGGAUGUUGAGUCGUAGAGCACGCAG